CUGCUUCAUAUGCGCAAAGAGGCAAGUCGUACAGCGCGCGCGCACAUUUAGUUCGACGCGUUUGCGUUAAACUUUGUCUAGACUUCUCAUCGAUUGGUUUUUAGGAAACCAAGUAUUAAAAAAAAUCAUUUUCAGAUUUAGCAUAGAGUAGUAAUGUAUUAGGAAACAAGAUCGUCGCGUAUUAUUUAUUGUCCAUGUUCUUUUUUCAAUCUAAUAUAAGUACAAUCGUUGAUUCUCACUUUUGCACACGCAAAUCAAUCCACCCGCAAAAUCAUCGAACAACGGCAGCCAUCUUUACUGGCUCCGAAACGGGCUGUGGUUUGUGACAGAGAGACGGUAGUGGUUCUUCAUGUGGUUCACGCGACCAUCUCAUCGCCUAUGCACCCUACGAGAGAUUGGAAAUCAUUUUUAAGUGUGGCUAAUUAGAAGAACUAAGGAACUCGUCUCACGAAUUCGAGCUACCAAAAUAUGGCAAUGGAGACGCCAAGAGAGCGUGAGAUUGCCGCGGAGGACAGUAUUAAGGUAGUCUGUAGAUUUCGACCUUUGAACGACUCCGAAGAAAAAGCUGGUUCGAAAUUUAUCGUAAAAUUCCCCUCUGGUGGUGAGGAUAAUUGCAUCUCUAUCGGGGGAAAAGUAUAUCUUUUUGACAAAGUUUUUAAACCAAAUGCUACUCAAGACAAAGUUUACAAUGAAGCGGCUAGAUCAAUUGUCACAGAUGUGUUGGCAGGGUAUAACGGCACUAUUUUUGCAUAUGGUCAAACAUCUUCAGGAAAAACACAUACCAUGGAAGGUGUUAUUGGAGAUCCAAAUAAACAAGGUAUUAUUCCCAGAAUUGUUAAUGAUAUUUUCAAUCAUAUUUAUGGUAUGGAAGAAAAUUUGGAAUUUCAUAUCAAGGUAUCAUACUUUGAAAUCUAUAUGGACAAAAUUAGAGAUCUUCUUGAUGUUUCUAAAGUGAAUUUAAGUGUGCAUGAAGAUAAGAAUCGAGUUCCAUUUGUAAAAGGUGCAACAGAACGCUUUGUAUCUAGUCCUGAAGAAGUAUUUGAAGUUAUAGAAGAGGGAAAAUCAAAUAGGCACAUUGCAGUAACUAAUAUGAACGAACACAGUUCACGUUCUCAUUCUGUAUUUUUAAUAAAUGUGAAACAAGAAAAUUUAGAAAACCAAAAGAAGCUUUCUGGAAAAUUAUAUCUUGUUGAUUUGGCUGGUUCAGAGAAGGUUUCUAAAACUGGAGCAGAAGGAACUGUACUAGAUGAAGCAAAAAAUAUCAAUAAAUCUCUAUCAGCACUUGGCAAUGUAAUAUCAGCUUUAGCUGAUGGAAAUAAAACUCACAUUCCUUAUCGUGAUUCAAAAUUGACUAGAAUUUUACAAGAAUCUCUUGGUGGCAAUGCCAGAACUACAAUUAUUAUUUGUUGUUCACCAGCUAGUUUCAAUGAAUCAGAAACAAAAUCGACAUUAGAUUUUGGUAAACGUGCUAAAACUAUUAAGAAUGUUGUAUGUGUUAAUGAGGAAUUGACAGCUGAAGAAUGGAAACGUCGCUACGAAAGAGAAAAGGAAAAAGCAGCUAGAUUGAAAGGAAAAGUUGAAAAAUUAGAAGCUGAAUUAUCACGUUGGCGACAGGGUGAAACUGUUAAACCUGAAGAACAAGUUAAUUUGGUUGAAGGACCAGAUGUUACAACACCAAUUAAUAUGUCUAUUGAAGGUAAACUGGAUGAUGGUCCGAUGCCAGCCACUCCUGGUGGCAACUUAAUGGCUGGAUCUUUAUCUAAUGAAGAAAGACAAAAAUUAGAAGAAGAACGUGAAAGACUUUAUCAACAGUUGGAUGAUAAAGAUGAAGAAAUCAAUCAACAAUCACAAUAUGUUGAGAACUUAAAAGAACAAAUUCAUGAACAAGCAGAAUUAAUUGCUACUGCAAGACGUGAAUAUGAAAAACUUCAACAGGAAGUAAAUCGAACACAGCAAGAACACGAACGGGCUAAAGAAGAAGUUAAAGAAGUUUUACAAGCAUUGGAAGAAUUAGCAGUUAAUUAUGAUCAGAAAUGCCAAGAGUGUGAUAUUAAAAAGAAAGAAACUGAAACUUUAACAGAAGAAUUAUUAGCAAAACAAACAACAUUAAACAGUACGGCUUCAGAAUUACAACAACUACGGGAUAUGUCGGCUCAUCAAAGGAAACGUAUUGCAGAAAUGCUAGCAAACUUCUUAAAAGAUUUAGGUGAAAUUGGGGUUGCAAUUGGUGGUGAUGAAAAUCUAAAAGUUGCACCUACAGAAAGUAAUGGUAAACUUGAAGAAGAAUUUACUGUGGCAAGACUGUUUAUUAGUAAAAUGAAAUCAGAGGUGAAGAAUUUAGUACAACGAUGUCAAGGAUUAGAAAGUUUCCAAGUAGACUGUAACAAGAAAGUUGCUGAAUAUGAAAAAGAUUUGGCUGAAUGUCGUUUAUUAAUUUCUCAACACGAAGCUCGCAUGCAAACAUUAACGGAAUCAAUGAAAGUAGCAGAAGCACGUAAACGUGCUUUAGAAGAAGAUGUUGAUGCUUUACGCGAAGAAUGUGCCAAGUUAAAGGCUGCAGAACAGGUACAAGCAGUUACAAAUAAAGAAAAAGCAGAAGAAAAAGAAGCAGCGACAAAGAUGAGAGUAGCACUAGAAGAACAAAUGGAUCAAUUGCGAGAUGCUCAUCAAAAACAAGUCGCAGCACUUCGAGAUGAAUUAUCUGAAAAACAAGAAUUGAUUAGUGAACUUAAAGAUUUGAAUCAAAAAUUCACAUUGGCUCAUCAACAAAUGCAAGCGGAUUAUGAACGAUUAAAACAAGAAGAAGCAAAUAAAUCUGUUAAAUUGCAAGAAUUAAUUUUGCUUAAUGAACGUCGUGAACAAGCUCGAAAAGAUCUUAAAGGUCUAGAGGAAACAGUAGCCAAAGAACUUCAAACAUUGCAUAAUCUACGCAAGUUAUUUGUUCAAGAUCUUCAAACUAGAAUAAAGAAGACUAUGAUUGCAGAAGAUAACGAAGAUGAUGGUGGAUCAUUAACACAGAAACAAAAGAUUUCCUUCCUCGAGAAUAAUUUAGACCAACUUACAAAGGUUCAUAAACAACUUGUAAGAGAUAAUGCUGAUCUUCGAUGUGAAUUACCUAAACUUGAAAAAAGAUUACGGGCUACUAUGGAACGUGUCAAAGCUCUAGAAACAGCAUUGCGAGAUGCCAAAGAAGGUGCAAUGCGAGAUCGUAAACGUUAUCAAUACGAGGUAGAUAGAAUCAAGGAAGCAGUUAGACAAAAGAAUUUAGCUCGUCGUGGACCGAGUGCACAAAUUGCUAAACCAAUUAGAGCUGGUCAACAUCAUUUAACUAAUGUUAAUGCUAUUAGAACGGGAAAUCGUGGUUUGUCCGAUUUUAUAUAAAGGAAUCGAUAAAAAUGUUAUACAGUUUGGAAUAAAUAUAUUCAAUAUAUUUGAUGUUAAACUAUUUAGUUUAACAAAUGAUAUUUUCAUAUAAAAAUAUUUAAAAGACGAACAAACCUUGCGAAAAUUUUAAUUUUCAAUUUUUUUAAAUAAAUGGUUAUGGAUAUGGGUAAUAACAACGUACAGUGAUCGUGAGCAUAAUGCCAAACCCUUCACUUUUACAGAAAACGAAUGCAAGAACGCUUUCAUCAAUGAAAGCAAUAGAGUUCCAGAGACUCUAAUUUGUAGUGGAUACCCAUAAAUGUUACAACUAUAUAGUAAGGGUAAUAGACGUAAUAUAUCCGCAAGGAGCACCGCCAGUUCUUUUUAUUUGUCUCAAAACAAGCAUGUGCUUAGGUAUAUUCAAAUAAGUGCAUUAAGUUAUAAAAUUAGUGCUGCAUGUCCUAUCGAUUUGUAAAUAGUUAAUUUUUAUAAAUUAUUUAACUUAAUAUCAUGCACGAUGAAUAAAAGUGAAUGUCUAUCAAAUAAUCAUGCAAAGGCCUCUUAUGAAAAAUAUUUCAAUAUUUAUUUCUUAUAAAAUUUUGUAUACUGUAUCUUUAAAAAGAUAAAUGAAUUCUAUUAUAAUGGAAUAGAAAAUAAAUUUCUAAAAAUGAUUAAUAUAAUUUAAUCAAUUUGUCUAUAAUAGUUUUAAUUGAUCUGCUAUCAACAUUAAUAUUUCCCAUCAAAUGAGGCAGUACUAUCUAACAUUUGGUAGGUAUCGCUGACAUGAAAUGCGAUUGGACAUGCGGCUUUGAAAAAAUUGUAGGAAUGAUCGUGGCUUAUAAGUAUUUAUAAUUGUAAGAAUUCUCUCCAUUGCUAUUAACAUAUACACGAUAAAAAAUUUUUUCGGACCUUCUAGAGAGCUCACUUAACGAAAGUGUUAAGUUUGUUGGCUACUCUAAAUAUUAUUAUGGUCCAAGAACCAAUGGCUUUAUGAACAUUUUCAACAGAAAAAUUUCAUCUUUAUCUUUGUUCAUGUUUAUUUUAUUAAUUAUAAUACAUUUCUCAUUACAUCGAUCUUUAUAUAUUCAUCUAAUUUAAAUUAAUUUAUUAUUGCUUAUUCUUGUUUAUAUCAGAGGCUUUUAUACUACAUUUAAAUUUUUAUAGGCCAAUAAAAUUUGGUCUAUAAAGAAGUCUUUUGUCUUAGAUAAACGUAUUAGUUUAUGUUUCUUCAUGUUGAGCUUAUGCUCGGAAGUUACCUAGAUGUAUUGUACGUCUAAUUGUGAGCUAUUGCACAGGUCUGCUUAAGUUCCUAAAACCUGUUGCAGGCCGCCGAAAAUUCGCUCACACAUUCUUUUUCUUUUUUUUUUCAGUGUAAUCGUUGAAUGUAACGUACACAUGCAUUUUUUAGAAAACUAUUCUUUAACUAUAUUUGUCAGUAAUUAAUGCUUUUCAAUUUUUGUGUACUUUUUAUGUACUUUUUUGUAAUUGUUUUAUUUAUGAUUUUCUUAAAAAUGUACGAGCCACACGUACUUGAUAUAUUGUCCGGAGCAGGAGAAUUCUAAACAAUAUUAAUUUAAGAUAGGUUUCUAUAAACUGUGCGCAACAAAAUAUUUGUUUGUGAUACGUCGAAAUUUUGUUACGCGCAGAUUCUUUAUGUGUAGACAAAAAAAAUUAACAUUUUCUUUAUGAAUCAUUGUCUCUCGUUGUUGUUGACAAUAACGAAAGAAAUCAUGUUUCCAUGUGAAAUCAUUUUUUGUCAUCUUCCGUUUUUUAACUUUUGUGAUAUCGAGAGUGAAAUUGUGUUUGCAUAUUAUGCAAAGACAAGUGCGUGGUGCAUAAUGAGUGCAAUUAUUAUUGUCAAAUGUAUGUAAAUAUAAUCGUAUUCCAUUACAUUUAUUUGGCAAAUUAAAACGAUCUUUGCAAGUUGCCCUACUCAUAAAAGGCUACAAAUAUAUGUAUUUAUUGAAAAAUACACGUAACAUUACUGUUUCAAAGCCUUAACAAUUGUCGAAAUAUUGUCAUACAAUAAUGUAUUUUUCAUUCUACUAUUCAACUAAGAUAUUAAUGUAUCUGCUGAAUUUUGGAUCAUGAUUCAAUUCUCUUCUUAAGCUACUGAAUCGUGAAAUAAAAUUUCAGCCUAGGCAACUCUUUAAUUGUGAAUUUCGAGUAUCGACCACUUUUUCUUACUAAAUAACAUUUAUUUUUAUAGACUAUUGUAAAGGCAUUAUUGAUUUUUCAACAUGGAGAAAAAAAUUCGAAAGUACUUAUUGAACAAAUUUUUGUUACGAUCAAAAUAUAAUUAAAAAAUGAUC
RNA transcript from Apis laboriosa (Himalayan honeybee), 5675 nucleotides. It is a transcript of the gene named kinesin heavy chain, with no coding region annotated. The transcript has 15 exons. The record is from RefSeq and is a predicted model, not a curated record. Lineage: Eukaryota; Metazoa; Arthropoda; Insecta; Hymenoptera; Apidae.